CAGUCGCCACGGUAAUACGUAGGGUGCGAGCGUUAAUCGGAAUUACUGGGCGUAAAGCGUGCGCAGGCGGUUGUGUAAGACAGGUGUGAAAUCCCCGGGCUUAACCUGGGAACUGCGCUUGUGACUGCACAGCUAGAGUAUGGCAGAGGGGGGUGGAAUUCCACGUGUAGCAGUGAAAUGCGUAGAGAUGUGGAGGAACACCGAUGGCGAAGGCAGCCCCCUGGGCCAAUACUGACGCUCAUGCACGAAAGCGUGGGGAGCAAACAGGAUUAGAUACCCGAGUAGUCCCUGUCUCUUAACA
This 301-nucleotide ribosomal RNA is filed under the name uncultured bacterium. RNAcentral describes it as "partial 16S ribosomal RNA". It matches the Rfam family "Bacterial small subunit ribosomal RNA", at positions 509 to 808 of the family's 1533-position model. The record is from RNAcentral.